RNAcentral lists this ribosomal RNA (548 nucleotides) under uncultured Glomus. Its description in RNAcentral is "SSU rRNA". It matches the Rfam family "Eukaryotic small subunit ribosomal RNA", at positions 548 to 1098 of the family's 1831-position model. The record is from RNAcentral. Lineage: Eukaryota; Fungi; Glomeromycota; Glomeromycetes; Glomerales; Glomeraceae.
UUGGAGGGCAAGUCUGGUGCCAGCAGCCGCGGUAAUUCCAGCUCCAAUAGCGUAUAUUAAAGUUGCUGCAGUUAAAAAGCUCGUAGUUGAAUUUCGGGACCAAUAUGUCGGUCGUGCUUCGGUACGUACUGUCAUUAUUGGUUUCUCCCUUCUGAAGAACCUUGAUGUCAUUAAUUUGGUGUCUUGGGGAAUCAGGACUGUUACUUUGAAAAAAUUAGAGUGUUUAAAGCAGGCUCGCGCUUGAAUACAUUAGCAUGGAAUAAUGAAAUAGGACGUUUGAUUCUAUUUUGUUGGUUUCUAGGAUCGACGUAAUGAUUAAUAGGGAUAGUUGGGGGCAUUAGUAUUCAAUUGUCAGAGGUGAAAUUCUUGGAUUUAUUGAAGACUAACUACUGCGAAAGCAUUUGCCAAGGAUGUUUUCAUUAAUCAAGAACGAAAGUUAGGGGAUCGAAGACGAUCAGAUACCGUCGUAGUCUUAACCAUAAACUAUGCCGACUAGGGAUCGGAUGAUGUUAAUUUUUUAAUGACUCAUUCGGCGCCUUACGGGAAAC